AAGCGACCAAUCCAAAGCGCCGGAAGACGGGGUGAGAGCCGGCCGCGUGGGACUAGCGCAGGACGCUGUCAGACGUCCCCUAGAGGCGCUCCGGGCCUGCCCAUUUGU
Molecule: small RNA, 108 nt
Filed under: Mycobacterium haemophilum
Lineage: Bacteria; Bacillati; Actinomycetota; Actinomycetes; Mycobacteriales; Mycobacteriaceae
Description: Mycobacterium sRNA ncrMT1302
Rfam family: Mycobacterium sRNA ncrMT1302
Source: Rfam by way of RNAcentral